Molecule: transfer RNA, 64 nt
Filed under: Argas sp. SpringbokSA-QMS95171
Lineage: Eukaryota; Metazoa; Arthropoda; Arachnida; Ixodida; Argasidae
Description: tRNA-Met
Source: RNAcentral
UUUAAAGUAAGCUAAUUUAAGCUAGUGGGCUCAUACCCCAAAAAUGAUUCAUUAUCCUUUAAUA